Sinocyclocheilus anshuiensis is the source of this 2540-nucleotide long non-coding RNA. The record is from Ensembl. Lineage: Eukaryota; Metazoa; Chordata; Actinopteri; Cypriniformes; Cyprinidae.
UGAACAUGUGCGGCACUUUACGGCAUAUUGUCACAUUAUCGACAGCGUACGUCACACGCUGUUACAUGUGGAUUGUGUGAAUUGUAGCGUAACAUUUUAAUUUCGUAAACUGUGUCGUUUUGCUUGUAGUUAACUCAGUAUUUUAAAAAGACUGUCGAAUCUCAGAGGCCGCAGUUUAUUCUUAUGGAACGACAAAAGCCCGCAUUUUUCAGAAAAACAGCUGCAGAUAUCUGAACUGGUUAGCCAGAUCGCUACUUUAGCAAAGGACGGGAAAGUAAAGGCUACAUGAUAUGGAGAACUACAGAAAAGCACGUACAGUCGAGCAGCCCUCCCUGUGUCCAUUCCCCGAGCUGCCCAGCGACACUCCAGAAGUUCGAGUGAAGGAUGGCAGCAAAAUCCGAAACCUCAUGAGGUUUGCUUUAAGCCGUAUGGAGGAGAAAACAGCCUCCGCAGAUCAUCCAGGCCCUCAUGAAGGCCCAGAGCUUAGUGCACAGCAACUGAAACCAACUUCACACAAGGUGGAGCUGCACAUGCAAAAUACGCAGUCAUGUUGGCUGUUCUUUUGACCAUUUUGAUGUUUAGUCAAGGGCUUUCAAUGGACAAUCGUGGGACAAGUUUCAUCACUGCAUUCCCCGAGAAUAUUGCUUUUUAUUAUCGGAAGACCUUUAACCUAUUCAAAAUCACUACCCUUCACCCAGACACUACGAUCAAUGUCACCUAUAUGGCCAACGGCAACGCCACCACAAAUGCAAGCCUUGCAAAUGGAACCGUUUGGACUUUGAAUUUGACGAAGGAGGUUGAAGAAUCCCAGUUUGUGUCUUCCAAUAAGACGUUUCGAAUCACCAGUGAUAAAAACAUCACAGUGGUUUCUGUGAGUGGAUGGAAGGGGGGAUUCCAGUCUCACGUUGUCCAGCCUGAACAAAAUCUGGGAAAGGUGUAUCAUGUUCCCUCUUUGAAUUACACCAAGAUAGCCGUGUCCUUUAACCUUAUGAUGACAUCAAAUGUCAGACUCCUCCCUUUUAGGCUGAUGAUUAUCAAUGCAGUGGGCAUGGACAACAACAUCAUCAUCAAACAGGUAGAUGAAAGAGGUCAGAGCCAAGAAGAUACAAUAAUGCUCGAUCCUUACCAUCUUUACCAGAUUCAGAUUAAUGGGACGGUGAGAGAAAUCAAUGCAGAGGACAAAGUGGCUGUGAUUCUGACCCAUCCGUGUUUUGACAGCAAAAACUGCUCAUGCAACAUGAUUCUGAACCAGCUCCAACCAUUUGUGUUAAAUGACGAGACAGACAUAUUCCCCAUGCCCCCCUUCUUCAGGGCCAAACAGCUACUUGUGACAACAAAUCAACCCUUCAGGGUCUGUCAGGGUUAUUUUACUACUUGUACUAAUGUCUGGGUGCAAAAUUCUUCAGACAUCCUGCCAUUAUUACCAAAUUUUAUGGAUAGGGCCUCACUUAUUUCUACUUCCAUGCAUGUUUCCCUUCGAUUAGUUAGUCCUGGGCUCAUUCUAGACCUCAUUCCGAUAAGCAUGUUCUCUGGGUGCUAUCUGGUAGAUUUUAAUUCCUCAAGCAGUAGGGCCUUGGUGAUUGCUAAUACACCCAGCGUUGAUGGUGUGCGAAUGAACGAUCAGCCUUUGCCUUCAUACAUCAACUGGACCGUUAUGGAUGACACAGAGUACUCUUGGGCUCUAGUGGUCGCAGAAAGGUUAAGCACAAUCUGGCAUCCUUCUGCAAGGAUUGGUGUAUAUAUGUUCGAACGCUUGGAGUCUAACAAUACCUAUGGGAGCGCAGCAACAGUUAUAAAUAUGGAUCCAGAUCGUUAUGGCUGUCUGGUGACUCCGGAGAUGUUUGUACUUGGUGAAGAUGAAAUGAGCUGGUCCAUGUCCCAUGAGUACUGCACGGAAAAUGCUGAUCUGUUUGCUAGGCUCAACAAUAGAAGCAGCCAGGAUAAGAUGGCCUCAAACAUGGCAGUCAUAGACCCCACGGAGGGCUGGAUCAGUCUGCGCCGCAGCCUGUACUCAGCAGAGUGGUAUUGGAAAAACGAGGACAAUUUCUCAUCCAAUGUGGACUUCACUUACUGGGAGAACAGACAGCCUGAAAAGCCGGAGAAAGGCUUGUGUGCCUCAGUUUCCCUGGAUCCCAACAAGAACUUCCAGUGGAAGAGUGCUCGCUGCUGUUCUAAAAAGAAACCUAUUUGCUAUAUCGGACCAAAAUACCUCACCUUUUGAGAUACUUUGUAAUAAGCAGAUGUCUUAAUUACAAUACUUGUAAAGGGAUCUCCAAAAUUUCAAUGUUUAAUUUUUUGCUUUCAGAACUGUGUUUAGGGAUCAAUAUAGAUUGGUUUUAUUUUCAUAAUUAACAUUUAUCUGGCUAUACAUAGUUAGGCCCCUAUAUUAGACUAGAUUUAGAAAAUGUUAUCUGGUGGGCAAUGAAAUUGAUCUAGCAAUGUAAUUAGCAGUGAAAGAAAAAAUUGUAUUGCAAACUUUUUAGGUUAAAUAAGACUAUUAAAAAUUAGUAAGUGGAGAUGCAUUUUGAGGUGUAUCCAGG